AGAGUUUGAUCAUGGCUCAGAACGAACGCUGGCGGCGUGCUUAACACAUGCAAGUCGUACGAGAAAGUCCCGCUUUGCGGGAUAAGUAAAGUGGCGAACGGGUGAGUAACACGUGGGUAAUCUACCCUCAAGACAGGGAUAACACUGCGAAAGCGGUGCUAAUACCUGAUAAGCCUACAGUUACCGUGGUGACAGUAGGAAAAGGGUGGCCUCUUUUUAAUGCUACCGCUUGAGGAUGAGCCCGCGCACCAUUAGCUAGUUGGUAGGGUAAUGGCCUACCAAGGCUACGAUGGUUAGCUGGCCUGAGAGGGCGGUCAGCCACACUGGAACUGAGACACGGUCCAGACUCCUACGGGAGGCAGCAGUGGGGAAUAUUGCGCAAUGGGGGGAACCCUGACGCAGCAACGCCGCGUGAGUGAUGAAGGCUUUCGAGUCGUAAAGCUCUGUCAGAUGGGAAGAAUAAGCCUGAGGAGAAUAUCCUCAGGUGAUGACGGUACCAUCAGAG
RNAcentral lists this ribosomal RNA (505 nucleotides) under uncultured bacterium. Its description in RNAcentral is "bacterial SSU rRNA". It matches the Rfam family "Bacterial small subunit ribosomal RNA", at positions 8 to 486 of the family's 1533-position model. The record is from RNAcentral.